Molecule: ribosomal RNA, 939 nt
Filed under: Halobacterium sp.
Lineage: Archaea; Methanobacteriati; Methanobacteriota; Halobacteria; Halobacteriales; Halobacteriaceae
Description: bacterial SSU rRNA
Rfam family: Archaeal small subunit ribosomal RNA
Source: RNAcentral
GCAGCGGAAAGCUCAGUAACACGUGGCCAAACUACCCUGUGGAUGGGAAUAAUCUCGGGAAACUGAGGCUAAUUCCCAAUAAUGCUCCACCCCUGGAAUGGGUGGAGCUGGAAACGCUACGGCGCCACAGGAUGUGGCUGCGGUCGAUUAGGUAGACGGUGGGGUAACGGCCCACCGUGCCAAUAAUCGGUACGGGUUGUGAGAGCAAGAGCCCGGAGACGGAAUCUGAGACAAGAUUCCGGGCCCUACGGGGCGCAGCAGGCGCGAAACCUUUACACUGUACGCAAGUGCGAUAAGGGGACUCCGAGUGUGAAGGCAUAGAGCCUUCACUUUUGUACACCGUAAGGUGGUGCACGAAUAAGGGCUGGGCAAGACCGGUGCCAGCCGCCGCGGUAAUACCGGCAGCCCGAGUGAUGGCCGAUAUUAUUGGGCCUAAAGCGUCCGUAGCUGGCCGGACAAGUCCGUUGGGAAAUCUGUCCGCUUAACGGGCAGGCGUCCAGCGGAAACUGUUCGGCUUGGGACCGGAAGACCUGAGGGGUACGUCCGGGGUAGGAGUGAAAUCCUGUAAUCCUGGACGGACCACCGGUGGCGAAAGCGCCUCAGGAGGACGGAUCCGACAGUGAGGGACGAAAGCUAGGGUCUCGAACCGGAUUAGAUACCCGGGUAGUCCUAGCUGUAAACGAUGCCCGCUAGGUGUGGCGCAGGCUACGAGCCUGCGCUGUGCCGUAGGGAAGCCGAGAAGCGGGCCGCCUGGGAAGUACGUCUGCAAGGAUGAAACUUAAAGGAAUUGGCGGGGGAGCACUACAACCGGAGGAGCUGCGGUUUAUUUGGACUCAACGCGGACAUCUCACCAGCUCCGACAGUAGUAAUGACGGUCAGGUUGAUGACUUUACCCGAUGCUACUGAGAGGAGGUGCAUGGGCGCGUCAGCUCGUACCGU